Long non-coding RNA from Homo sapiens (human), 743 nucleotides. RefSeq annotates it as MYG1 antisense RNA 1. The record is from RefSeq and is a predicted model, not a curated record. The transcript has 2 exons. NCBI's taxonomy places the organism in Eukaryota, Metazoa, Chordata, Mammalia, Primates, Hominidae.
AGCAGUAGCCUGAGCUGCCCCCAGGGCUGUGAGCUGCUGAAUCUUCUGACUCAUCAUUUCCAUGACGGCUGUGGAAAAAAAUAAGAGUCAAAGAAUCCUGCUCUUGUCACCGAGGCUGGAGUGCAGUGGCACGAUCUUGGCUCACAGCAACCUCCGUCUCCCGGGUUCAAGCGAUUCUCCUGCCUCAUCCUCCCGAACAGCUGGGAUUACAGGCAUGCACCACCAUGCCCGGGCUAACUUUGUAUUUUUAGUAGAGAUGGGGUUUCACCAUGGUGGCCAGGCUGGUCUUGAACUCCUAACCUCAGGUGAUCCACCUGCCUUGGCCUCCCAAAGUGCUGGGAUUACAGGCGUCAGCCACUGCGCCUGGCAUUGUUAAUAAAACUUUAACUCAGUGAUCCACUGUGGGGUCACUAACACAAAUUUAGGGUCUACAAUGCAUCGGUCAAUAUGCUAACACAGCUGGGUGUGGUGAGAAUGAGACUCUUCUCGGAAAAAAAAAAAACCUGCUAACCAAAGAUAUAAAAACGAACACAAUAUGGUAUUAAAUGAGUCUGACAUAAUCAGAAAACUAUGAUGGGGAAAGAUUUUUACCUUUGGAACACUGGUUCUGAAUCCUGAUUAUAACAGAGGGGAGCUUUUUUAAAAAAAAACAGACCUUGGUACAACUUCCCCUCCUUUGACUUCCAAGUUGAUUUAGUCAAUCUGGAAUGGGCCCAAGCUUUCUUUUUAAACUUCCUGAGUGA